CCUACGGGAGGCAGCAGUGAGGAAUAUUGGUCAAUGGGCGCGAGCCUGAACCAGCCAAGUAGCGUGAAGGAUGACUGCCCUACGGGUUGUAAACCUCUUUUAUAAGGGAAUAAAGUGCGGGACGUGUCCCGUUUUGUAUGUACUUUAUGAAUAAGGAUCGGCUAACUCCGUGCCAGCAGCCGCGGUAAUACGGAGGAUCCGAGCGUUAUCCGGAUUUAUUGGGUUUAAAGGGUGCGUAGGCGGCCUUUUAAGUCAGCGGUGAAAGUCUGUGGCUCAACCGUAAAAUUGCCGUUGAAACUGGGAGGCUUGAGUAUGUUUGAGGCAGGCGGAAUGCGUGGUGUAGCGGUGAAAUGCUUAGAUAUCACGAAGAACCCCGAUUGCGAAGGCAGCCUGCCAAGCCAUGACUGACGCUGAUGCACGAAAGCGUGGGGAUCAAACAGGAUUAGAUACCCGAGUAGUC
RNAcentral lists this ribosomal RNA (460 nucleotides) under uncultured bacterium. RNAcentral describes it as "partial 16S ribosomal RNA". It matches the Rfam family "Bacterial small subunit ribosomal RNA", at positions 338 to 795 of the family's 1533-position model. The record is from RNAcentral.